RNAcentral lists this ribosomal RNA (328 nucleotides) under uncultured Lachnospiraceae bacterium. RNAcentral's name for it is "bacterial SSU rRNA". It matches the Rfam family "Bacterial small subunit ribosomal RNA", at positions 28 to 339 of the family's 1533-position model. The record is from RNAcentral. Lineage: Bacteria; Bacillati; Bacillota; Clostridia; Lachnospirales; Lachnospiraceae.
GAUGAACGCUGGCGGCGUGCCUAACACAUGCAAGUCGAACGGGAACUCUGGGGAUGAAGGUUCGCUGGAUUCCCAGAAAUUCUAGUGGCGGACGGGUGAGUAACGCGUGGGUAACCUGCCCUUAAGAGGGGAAUAACAGUGAGAAAUUACUGCUAAUACAUCAUAUGCUUACAGUAUCGCAUGAUACAGUGAGGAAAGGAAUUUCGCUUAAGGAUGGACCCGCGUUUGAUUAGCCAGUUGGCAGGGUAACGGCCUACCAAAGCAACGAUCAAUAGCCGGCCUGAGAGGGUGAACGGCCACAUUGGGACUGAGACACGGCCCAAACUCC